GAUGAACGCUAGCUACAGGCUUAACACAUGCAAGUCGAGGGGUCUGCUUCGGCAGACGACCGGCGCACGGGUGAGUAACGCGUAUCCAACCUGCCCUUCUCAUUGGGAUAGCCUUUCGAAAGAGAGAUUAAUACCGAAUAACAUAGUUUGAUUGCCUGAUUAUACUAUGAAAGCUCCGGCGGAGAAGGAUGGGGAUGCGUUCCAUUAGGUAGUAGGCGGGGUAACGGCCCACCAAGGCGACGAUCGUUAAGGGUUCUGAGAGGAAGGUCCCCCCACACUGGAACUGAGACACGGUCCAGACUCCUACGGGAGGCAGCAGUGAGGAAUAUUGGUCAAUGGGCNCGAGCCUGAACCAGCCAAGUAGCGUGAAGGAUGACUGCCCUACGGGUUGUAAACUUCUUUUUGUUUGGGAAUAAAUGAUACUACGUGUAGUAUUUUGCAUGUAUCUUACGAAUAAGCAUCGGCUAAUUCCGUG
RNAcentral lists this ribosomal RNA (475 nucleotides) under uncultured bacterium. RNAcentral's name for it is "bacterial SSU rRNA". It matches the Rfam family "Bacterial small subunit ribosomal RNA", at positions 28 to 507 of the family's 1533-position model. The record is from RNAcentral.